GUAGGUGGCAAGCGUUGUCCGGAAUUAUUGGGCGUAAAGCGCGCGCAGGCGGGGUCCUUUAAGUCUGAUGUGAAAGCCUGCGGCUCAACCGUGGAGGGUCAUUGGAAACUGGGGGACUUGAGUACAGAAGAGGAAAGCGGAAUUCCAAGUGUAGCGGUGAAAUGCGUAGAGAUUUGGAGGAACACCAGUGGCGAAGGCGGCUUUCUGGUCUGUAACUGACGCUGAGGCGCGAAAGCGUGGGGAGCAAACAGGAUUAGAUACCCUGGUAGUCCACGCCGUAAACGAUGAGUGCUAAGUGUUAGGGGGUUUCCGCCCCUUAGUGCUGCAGCUAACGCAUUAAGCACUCCGCCUGGGGAGUACGGCCGCAAGGCUG
RNAcentral lists this ribosomal RNA (373 nucleotides) under uncultured organism. Its description in RNAcentral is "partial 16S ribosomal RNA". It matches the Rfam family "Bacterial small subunit ribosomal RNA", at positions 527 to 896 of the family's 1533-position model. The record is from RNAcentral.